Molecule: non-coding RNA, 69 nt
Organism: Chryseobacterium sp. IHB B 17019
Lineage: Bacteria; Pseudomonadati; Bacteroidota; Flavobacteriia; Flavobacteriales; Weeksellaceae
Source: Rfam
AAGAGGUGGAGCUCAGAAACCACAUUAAUCAACGAGGCGACUCCGAAAAGCCAAACGAGUAGGAACACC